This 439-nucleotide ribosomal RNA is filed under the name uncultured bacterium. Its description in RNAcentral is "partial 16S ribosomal RNA". It matches the Rfam family "Bacterial small subunit ribosomal RNA", at positions 339 to 795 of the family's 1533-position model. The record is from RNAcentral.
CUACGGGGUGCACCAGUGGGGAAUAUUGGACAAUGGGCGCAAGCCUGAUCCAGCAAUGCCGCGUGAGUGAAGACGGCCUUAGGGUUGUAAAACUCUUUCGCUAGGGAAGAUAAUGACUGUACCUAGUAAAGAAGUCCCGGCUAACUCCGUGCCAGCAGCCGCGGUAAUACGGAGGGAACUAGCGUUGUUCGGAAUUACUGGGCGUAAAGAGUUCGUAGGCGGACUGACAAGUUAGAGGUGAAAUCCCAGGGCUCAACCCUGGAACUGCCUUUAAAACUGUCAGUCUAGAGACCGGAAGAGGUUAGGGGAAUACCUAGUGUAGAGGUGAAAUUCGUAGAUAUUAGGUGGAACACCAGUGGCGAAGGCGCCUAACUGGUCCGGUACUGACGCUGAGGAACGAAAGCGUGGGGAGCAAACAGGAUUAGAUACCCGCGUAGUC